RNAcentral lists this ribosomal RNA (497 nucleotides) under uncultured bacterium. RNAcentral's name for it is "partial 16S ribosomal RNA". It matches the Rfam family "Bacterial small subunit ribosomal RNA", at positions 28 to 507 of the family's 1533-position model. The record is from RNAcentral.
GAUGAACGCUGGCGGCGUGGCUAAUACAUGCAAGUCGAGCGAACAGACGAGGAGCUUGCUCCUCUGACGUUAGCGGCGGACGGGUGAGUAACACGUGGAUAACCUACCUAUAAGACUGGGAUAACUUCGGGAAACCGGAGCUAAUACCGGAUAAUAUAUUGAACCGCAUGGUUCAAUAGUGAAAGACGGUUUUGCUGUCACUUAUAGAUGGAUCCGCGCCGCAUUAGCUAGUUGGUAAGGUAACGGCUUACCAAGGCGACGAUGCGUAGCCGACCUGAGAGGGUGAUCGGCCACACUGGAACUGAGACACGGUCCAGACUCCUACGGGAGGCAGCAGUAGGGAAUCUUCCGCAAUGGGCGAAAGCCUGACGGAGCAACGCCGCGUGAGUGAUGAAGGUCUUCGGAUUGUAAAACUCUGUUAUUAGGGAAGAACAAAUGUGUAAGUAACUAUGCACGUCUUGACGGUACCUAAUCAGAAAGCCACGGCUAACUACGUG